This 468-nucleotide ribosomal RNA is filed under the name Anomala arara. RNAcentral describes it as "partial 16S ribosomal RNA". It matches the Rfam family "Bacterial large subunit ribosomal RNA", at positions 1819 to 2552 of the family's 2925-position model. The record is from RNAcentral. Lineage: Eukaryota; Metazoa; Arthropoda; Insecta; Coleoptera; Scarabaeidae.
GUCUUUUUGAUUAUAAUUUAAAGUCUGACCUGCCCAAUGAGUAGUUAAAUGGCCGCGGUAAUUUGACCGUGCAAAGGUAGCAUAAUCAUUAGUUUUUUAAUUGAAAGCUGGAAUGAAUGGUUGGACGAGAAAAUAACUGUCUCAAUUUAAUUUAAUAUAGAACUUUAUUUAUAAGUAAAAAAGCUUAUAUAAUUUUAAAAGACGAGAAGACCCUAUAGAGUUUUACAUUUAAUUAUAUUAAUUAGGUUUAGUAUGUUUAUAUUUUUAAUAUAAUUGCAUGUUUUGCUGGGGCAGCAGAAAAAUUAAACAAACUUUUUUUAUUACUAUUACAUUGAUUUAUGGUUUAAUGAUCCAUUUUUUAUGAUUACAAGAUUAAAUUACCUUAGGGAUAACAGCGUAAUUUUUUUUUAGAGUUCUUAUCGAAAAAAGAGUUUGCGACCUCGAUGUUGGAUUAAAAUUAACUUUUGG